This 818-nucleotide ribosomal RNA is filed under the name uncultured Alphaproteobacteria bacterium. RNAcentral describes it as "bacterial SSU rRNA". It matches the Rfam family "Bacterial small subunit ribosomal RNA", at positions 85 to 940 of the family's 1533-position model. Lineage: Bacteria; Pseudomonadati; Pseudomonadota; Alphaproteobacteria. The record is from RNAcentral.
GCAAUACUUAGUGGCAGACGGGUGAGUAACAUGUGGGUAUCUACCCUUUGGCCUGGAAUAACACGAGGAAACUUGUGCUAAUACCGGAUAAGUCUUUACGGAGAAAGCUUUAUGCACCAUUGGAUGAGCCCGCACUUGAUUAGUUUGUUGGUAGGGUAAUGGCCUACCAAGACUAUGAUCAAUAGCUGAUUUGAGAGGAUGAUCAGCCACAUUGGGACUGAGACACGGCCCAAACUCCUACGGGAGGCAGCAGUGGGGAAUCUUGCACAAUGGAGGAAACUCUGAUGCAGCGAUGCCGCGUGAGUGAAGAAGGCCUUUGGGUUGUAAAGCUCUUUCGUCGGGGAAGAAAAUGACUGUACCCGAAUAAGAAGGUCCGGCUAACUUCGUGCCAGCAGCCGCGGUAAUACGAAGGGACCUAGCGUAGUUCGGAAUUACUGGGCUUAAAGAGUUCGUAGGUGGUUGAAAAAGUUAGUGGUGAAAUCCCAGAGCUUAACUCUGGAACUGCCAUUAAAACUUUUCAGCUAGAGUAUGAUAGAGGAAAGCAGAAUUUCUAGUGUAGAGGUGAAAUUCGUAGAUAUUAGAAAGAAUACCAAUUGCGAAGGCAGCUUUCUGGAUCAUUACUGACACUGAGGAACGAAAGCAUGGGUAGCGAAGAGGAUUAGAUACCCUCGUAGUCCAUGCCGUAAACGAUGUGUGUUAGACGUUGGAAAUUUAUUUUCAGUGUCGCAGGGAAACCGAUAAACACACCGCCUGAGGAGUACGACCGCAAGGUUAAAACUCAAAUGAAUUGACGGGGACCCGCACAAGUAGUGGAGCAU